Jaculus jaculus (lesser Egyptian jerboa) is the source of this 104-nucleotide small nuclear RNA. NCBI's taxonomy places the organism in Eukaryota, Metazoa, Chordata, Mammalia, Rodentia, Dipodidae. The record is from Ensembl.
GUGCCUGCCUUGGCAGCCCAAGUACCAAAACUGGAAUGAUACAGACAAGAGCAUAGACCCUGAGUAAGGAUGACAUGAAAAGUUGUGAAGAAUUCCAUCUUCUA